RNAcentral lists this ribosomal RNA (1951 nucleotides) under human gut metagenome. RNAcentral describes it as "bacterial LSU rRNA". It matches the Rfam family "Bacterial large subunit ribosomal RNA", at positions 1 to 1977 of the family's 2925-position model. The record is from RNAcentral.
UUAAGCGACUAAGCGUACACGGUGGAUGCCCUGGCAGUCAGAGGCGAUGAAGGACGUGCUAAUCUGCGAUAAGCGUCGGUAAGGUGAUAUGAACCGUUAUAACCGGCGAUUUCCGAAUGGGGAAACCCAGUGUGUUUCGACACACUAUCAUUAACUGAAUCCAUAGGUUAAUGAGGCGAACCGGGGGAACUGAAACAUCUAAGUACCCCGAGGAAAAGAAAUCAACCGAGAUUCCCCCAGUAGCGGCGAGCGAACGGGGAGCAGCCCAGAGCCUGAAUCAGUGUGUGUGUUAGUGGAAGCGUCUGGAAAGGCGCGCGAUACAGGGUGACAGCCCCGUACACAAAAAUGCACAUACUGUGAGCUCGAUGAGUAGGGCGGGACACGUGGUAUCCUGUCUGAAUAUGGGGGGACCAUCCUCCAAGGCUAAAUACUCCUGACUGACCGAUAGUGAACCAGUACCGUGAGGGAAAGGCGAAAAGAACCCCGGCGAGGGGAGUGAAAAAGAACCUGAAACCGUGUACGUACAAGCAGUGGGAGCACAGAGCAAUCUGUGUGACUGCGUACCUUUUGUAUAAUGGGUCAGCGACUUAUAUUCUGUAGCAAGGUUAACCGAAUAGGGGAGCCGAAGGGAAACCGAGUCUUAACUGGGCGUUAAGUUGCAGGGUAUAGACCCGAAACCCGGUGAUCUAGCCAUGGGCAGGUUGAAGGUUGGGUAACACUAACUGGAGGACCGAACCGACUAAUGUUGAAAAAUUAGCGGAUGACUUGUGGCUGGGGGUGAAAGGCCAAUCAAACCGGGAGAUAGCUGGUUCUCCCCGAAAGCUAUUUAGGUAGCGCCUCGUGAAUUCAUCUCCGGGGGUAGAGCACUGUUUCGGCAAGGGGGUCAUCCCGACUUACCAACCCGAUGCAAACUGCGAAUACCGGAGAAUGUUAUCACGGGAGACACACGGCGGGUGCUAACGUCCGUCGUGAAGAGGGAAACAACCCAGACCGCCAGCUAAGGUCCCAAAGUCAUGGUUAAGUGGGAAACGAUGUGGGAAGGCCCAGACAGCCAGGAUGUUGGCUUAGAAGCAGCCAUCAUUUAAAGAAAGCGUAAUAGCUCACUGGUCGAGUCGGCCUGCGCGGAAGAUGUAACGGGGCUAAACCAUGCACCGAAGCUGCGGCAGCGACGCUUAUGCGUUGUUGGGUAGGGGAGCGUUCUGUAAGCCUGCGAAGGUGUACUGUGAGGUAUGCUGGAGGUAUCAGAAGUGCGAAUGCUGACAUAAGUAACGAUAAAGCGGGUGAAAAGCCCGCUCGCCGGAAGACCAAGGGUUCCUGUCCAACGUUAAUCGGGGCAGGGUGAGUCGACCCCUAAGGCGAGGCCGAAAGGCGUAGUCGAUGGGAAACAGGUUAAUAUUCCUGUACUUGGUGUUACUGCGAAGGGGGGACGGAGAAGGCUAUGUUGGCCGGGCGACGGUUGUCCCGGUUUAAGCGUGUAGGCUGGUUUUCCAGGCAAAUCCGGAAAAUCAAGGCUGAGGCGUGAUGACGAGGCACUACGGUGCUGAAGCAACAAAUGCCCUGCUUCCAGGAAAAGCCUCUAAGCAUCAGGUAACAUCAAAUCGUACCCCAAACCGACACAGGUGGUCAGGUAGAGAAUACCAAGGCGCUUGAGAGAACUCGGGUGAAGGAACUAGGCAAAAUGGUGCCGUAACUUCGGGAGAAGGCACGCUGAUAUGUAGGUGAAGUCCCUCGCGGAUGGAGCUGAAAUCAGUCGAAGAUACCAGCUGGCUGCAACUGUUUAUUAAAAACACAGCACUGUGCAAACACGAAAGUGGACGUAUACGGUGUGACGCCUGCCCGGUGCCGGAAGGUUAAUUGAUGGGGUUAGCGCAAGCGAAGCUCUUGAUCGAAGCCCCGGUAAACGGCGGCCGUAACUAUAACGGUCCUAAGGUAGCGAAAUUCCUUGUCGGGU